GACGAACGCUGGCGGCGUGCUUAACACAUGCAAGUCGAACGGAAAGGCCCUGCUUUUGUGGGGUGCUCGAGUGGCGAACGGGUGAGUAACACGUGAGUAUCAUGCCCUUGACUUUGGGAGAACUUCAGGGAACUGGGGCUAAUACCGGAUAGGAGCUCCUGCUGCAUGGUGGGGGUUGGAAAGUUUCGGCGGUUGGGGAUGGACUAGAGGCUUAUGAGCUUGUUGGGGGGGUAGUGGCUUACCAAGGUUUUGACGGGUAGCCGGCCUGAGAGGGUGACCAGCCACAUUGGGCCUGAGAUACGGCCCAGACUCCAACGGGAGGCAGCAGUGGGGAAUAUUGCACAAUGGGCGGAAGCCUGAUGCAGCAACGCCGCGUGCGGGAUGACGGCCUUCGGGGUGUAAACCGCUUUCGCCUGUGACGAAGCGUGAGUGACGGUAAUGGGUAAAGAAGCACCGGCUAACUACGUG
Molecule: ribosomal RNA, 468 nt
Filed under: uncultured bacterium
Lineage: Bacteria
Description: partial 16S ribosomal RNA
Rfam family: Bacterial small subunit ribosomal RNA
Source: RNAcentral